This 461-nucleotide ribosomal RNA is filed under the name uncultured bacterium. Its description in RNAcentral is "SSU rRNA". It matches the Rfam family "Bacterial small subunit ribosomal RNA", at positions 26 to 518 of the family's 1533-position model. The record is from RNAcentral.
AGAAUCAACGCUGGCGGCGUGCCUAACACAUGCAAGUCGAACGAGAAAGGGGAGCAAUCCCUGAGUAAAGUGGCGACCGGGUGAGUAACACGUGACUAACCUACCUUCGAGUGGGGGGAUAACCUCGGGAAACCGAGGCUAAUACCGCAUAACAUCGUGAGAUCAAAGCAGUAAUGCGCUGGAAGAGGGGGUCGCGGCUGAUUAGCUAGUUGGCGGGGUAAUGGCCCACCAAGGCGAAGAUCGGUAGCCGGCCUGAGAGGGCGCACGGCCACACUGGAACUGAAACACGGUCCAGACUCCUACGGGAGGCAGCAGUGGGGAAUUUGCGCAAUGGGGGAAACCCUGACGCAGCAACGCCGCGUGGAGGAUGAAGUCCCUUGGGACGUAAACUCCUUUCGACCAAGACGAUAAUGACGGUACUGGUGGAAGAAGCACCGGCUAACUCUGUCGCCAGCAGCCGC